GUGUCAGUAUGUGAGUAUGCAUGUACGUCAGUGUGUGUGUCUGUAUGUCAGUAUUUGUGUGUAAAUCUGUAUCUCCUUAUGCAUGUGUAUGUGUCUAUAUUUGUGUAUAAAAUAAGUUCUCAUGCAAAAGAAUUUGCAGAGAAAUAGAGGGAAAAAGACCUAGCGAAAAAAGCUCUGAAACUGGGUAAAAAAUAGGGAUCCAC
Pelobates cultripes (western spadefoot toad) is the source of this 203-nucleotide non-coding RNA. Lineage: Eukaryota; Metazoa; Chordata; Amphibia; Anura; Pelobatidae. The record is from the annotation of a GenBank genome assembly.